GCAAGUCGAACGAACUCUGGUAUUGAUUGGUGCUUGCAUCAUGAUUUACAUUUGAGUGAGUGGCGAACUGGUGAGUAACACGUGGGAAACCUGCCCAGAAGCGGGGGAUAACACCUGGAAACAGAUGCUAAUACCGCAUAACAACUUGGACCGCAUGGUCCGAGCUUGAAAGAUGGCUUCGGCUAUCACUUUUGGAUGGUCCCGCGGCGUAUUAGCUAGAUGGUGGGGUAACGGCUCACCAUGGCAAUGAUACGUAGCCGACCUGAGAGGGUAAUCGGCCACAUUGGGACUGAGACACGGCCCAAACUCCUACGGGAGGCAGCAGUAGGGAAUCUUCCACAAUGGACGAAAGUCUGAUGGAGCAACGCCGCGUGAGUGAAGAAGGGUUUCGGCUCGUAAAACUCUGUUGUUAAAGAAGAACAUAUCUGAGAGUAACUGUUCAGGUAUUGACGGUAUUUAACCAGAAAGCCACGGCUAACUACGUGCCAGCAGCCGCGGUAAUACGUAGGUGGCAAGCGUUGUCCGGAUUUAUUGGGCGUAAAGCGAGCGCAGGCGGUUUUUUAAGUCUGAUGUGAAAGCCUUCGGCUCAACCGAAGAAGUGCAUCGGAAACUGGGAAACUUGAGUGCAGAAGAGGACAGUGGAACUCCAUGUGUAGCGGUGAAAUGCGUAGAUAUAUGGAAGAACACCAGUGGCGAAGGCGGCUGUCUGGUCUGUAACUGACGCUGAGGCUCGAAAGUAUGGGUAGCAAACAGGAUUAGAUACCCUGGUAGUCCAUACCGUAAACGAUGAAUGCUAAGUGUUGGAGGGUUUCCGCCCUUCAGUGCUGCAGCUAACGCAUUAAGCAUUCCGCCUGGGGAGUACGGCCGCAAGGCUGAAACUCAAAGGAAUUGACGGGGGCCCGCACAAGCGGUGGAGCAUGUGGUUUAAUUCGAAGCUACGCGAAGAACCUUACCAGGUCUUGACAUACUAUGCAAAUCUAAGAGAUUAGACGUUCCCUUCGGGGACAUGGAUACAGGUGGUGCAUGGUUGUCGUCAGCUCGUGUCGUGAGAUGUUGGGUUAAGUCCCGCAACGAGCGCAACCCUUAUUAUCAGUUGCCAGCAUUAAGUUGGGCACUCUGGUGAGACUGCCGGUGACAAACCGGAGGAAGGUGGGGAUGACGUCAAAUCAUCAUGCCCCUUAUGACCUGGGCUACACACGUGCUACAAUGGAUGGUACAACGAGUUGCGAACUCGCGAGAGUAAGCUAAUCUCUUAAAGCCAUUCUCAGUUCGGAUUGUAGGCUGCAACUCGCCUACAUGAAGUCGGAAUCGCUAGUAAUCGCGGAUCAGCAUGCCGCGGUGAAUACGUUCCCGGGCCUUGUACACACCGCCCGUCACACCAUGAGAGUUUGUAACACCCAAAGUCGGUGGG
Molecule: ribosomal RNA, 1411 nt
Filed under: Lactiplantibacillus plantarum
Lineage: Bacteria; Bacillati; Bacillota; Bacilli; Lactobacillales; Lactobacillaceae
Description: bacterial SSU rRNA
Rfam family: Bacterial small subunit ribosomal RNA
Source: RNAcentral